UACACGGACCUUGGGCUGAGAACGCAGGCGUGGGACGCAACGGUGUGGCGUGGAAGAGCUGGAGACCUGUAUGUACCCUCCCAACGCUUGGUGUUCGUGCGGAGCGGCUGAGGGAAAGCCGCUCACAAUCGAGCCGGCGGAUCGGUGCAACGCGGACGGGUGCGGAAGGAGCACGGACGGAGUGGCAUCCACGGCCCGGGGGAUCCAGGUGGACCUAUUGGACACGAUCCGUGCCUGGUGAUCGAGUGGAGCGGCUGGGGAAAAAGCCGCUCCAAAUCUGUGAGUUUCCCACACAAGGGUGGGGCAGCGCGAAGGGGUUCACGUUUUCUCCCCACUGGCAGCUCUCUUGUGUGGCAGGGCCGAGUCGCGGAGUGGAGAAGGCGGCCAGGGGAGCGUGCGUGGAGGGCUACAACGCGGAAGCCGGGGGGGAAGGAGUUGGAUCCAAUGCUCUGCCCUGGAUAAACUCUUCAGCCUUCUUUUUCCUUUUCUUUGUUGACAUUUUAGCGACUGUUAAUUGUUUUAGCCAAGGUUCAACAUACUUUUAAUCGUGUAUUUUACUAUUUUUUAAUUUUGCUUAAAGUUGUAAUAAAUUCACUGGAAUUGUU
Boleophthalmus pectinirostris (great blue-spotted mudskipper) is the source of this 605-nucleotide long non-coding RNA. RefSeq lists it as uncharacterized. The record is from RefSeq and is a predicted model, not a curated record. The transcript is spliced from 2 exons. NCBI's taxonomy places the organism in Eukaryota, Metazoa, Chordata, Actinopteri, Gobiiformes, Gobiidae.